GGGGGCAUAGCUCAGCUGGUUCAGAGCAUCUGCCUUACAAGCAGAGGGUCAGCGGUUCGAACCCGUUUGCCCCCA
This 75-nucleotide transfer RNA is filed under the name Sphingobacteriales bacterium. RNAcentral's name for it is "tRNA-Val". It matches the Rfam family "tRNA". From Rfam's summary of the family: Transfer RNA (tRNA) molecules are approximately 80 nucleotides in length. Their secondary structure includes four short double-helical elements and three loops (D, anti-codon, and T loops). The record is from RNAcentral. Lineage: Bacteria; Pseudomonadati; Bacteroidota; Sphingobacteriia; Sphingobacteriales.